RNAcentral lists this ribosomal RNA (669 nucleotides) under uncultured marine bacterium. RNAcentral describes it as "bacterial SSU rRNA". It matches the Rfam family "Bacterial small subunit ribosomal RNA", at positions 47 to 761 of the family's 1533-position model. The record is from RNAcentral.
CCUAACACAUGCAAGUCGAACGAAGUAGCAAUACUUAGUGGCAGACGGGUGAGUAACAUGUGGGUAUCUACCCUUUGGCCUGGAAUAACACGAGGAAACUUGUGCUAAUACUGGAUAAGUCUUUACGGAGAAAGCUUUAUGCACCAUUGGAUGAGCCCGCACUUGAUUAGUUUGUUGGUGGGGUAAUGGCCUACCAAGACUUUGAUCAAUAGCUGAUUUGAGAGGAUGAUCAGCCACAUUGGGACUGAGACACGGCCCAAACUCCUACGGGAGGCAGCAGUGGGGAAUCUUGCACAAUGGAGGAAACUCUGAUGCAGCGAUGCCGCGUGAGUGAAGAAGGCCCUUGGGUUGUAAAGCUCUUUCGUCGGGGAAGAAAAUGACUGUACCCGAAUAAGAAGGUCCGGCUAACUUCGUGCCAGCAGCCGCGGUAAUACGAAGGGACCUAGCGUAGUUCGGAAUUACUGGGCUUAAAGAGUUCGUAGGUGGUUGAAAAAGUUGGUGGUGAAAUCCCAGAGCUUAACUCUGGAACUGCCAUCAAAACUUUUCAGCUAGAGUUUGAUAGAGGAAAGCAGAAUUUCUAGUGUAGAGGUGAAAUUCGUAGAUAUUAGAAAGAAUACCAAUUGCGAAGGCAGCUUUCUGGAUCAUUACUGACGCUGAGGAACGAAAGCA